GACGAACGCUGGCGGCGUGCCUAAUACAUGCAAGUAGAACGCUGAAGGAGGAGCUUGCUCUUCUGGAUGAGUUGCGAACGGGUGAGUAACGCGUAGGUAACCUGCCUGGUAGCGGGGGAUAACUAUUGGAAACGAUAGCUAAUACCGCAUAAGAGUAGAUGUUGCAUGACAUUUGCUUAAAAGGUGCAAUUGCAUCACUACCAGAUGGACCUGCGUUGUAUUAGCUAGUUGGUGGGGUAACGGCUCACCAAGGCGACGAUACAUAGCCGACCUGAGAGGGUGGUCGGCCACACUGGGACUGAGACACGGCCCAGAGUCCUACGGGAGGCAGCAGUAGGGAAUCUUCGGCAAUGGACGGAAGUCUGACCGAGCAACGCCGCGUGAGUGAAGAAGGGUUUCGGAUCGUAAAGCUCUGUUGUAAGAGAAGAACGAGUGUGAGAGUGGAAAGUUCACACUGUGACGGUAUCUUACCAGAAAGGGACGGCUAACUACGUG
This 495-nucleotide ribosomal RNA is filed under the name uncultured bacterium. RNAcentral describes it as "partial 16S ribosomal RNA". It matches the Rfam family "Bacterial small subunit ribosomal RNA", at positions 28 to 507 of the family's 1533-position model. The record is from RNAcentral.